GGUGAGAUGGCCGAGCGGUCUAAGGCGCCAGACUAAGGAUAUCCGCCAUCUGGUCCGAAAGGGCGUGGGUUCGAAUCCCACUCUCAUCA
Non-coding RNA from Daedaleopsis nitida, 89 nucleotides. NCBI's taxonomy places the organism in Eukaryota, Fungi, Basidiomycota, Agaricomycetes, Polyporales, Polyporaceae. The record is from the annotation of a GenBank genome assembly.